UACGGGGGGAGCAAGCGUUGUCCGGAUUUACUGGGCGUAAAGGGCGCGUAGGCGGCCACCGCAAGUCGGUUGUGAAAUCUCCGGGCUUAACCCGGAAAGGUCAAUCGAUACUGCGGGGCUAGAGUGCAGAAGGGGCAACUGGAAUUCUCGGUGUAGCGGUGAAAUGCGUAGAUAUCUGGAGGAAUACCGGUGGCGAAGGCGGCAUCCUGGACCGGCAUUGACGCUGAGGAGCGAAAGCCAGGGGAGCAAACGGG
RNAcentral lists this ribosomal RNA (254 nucleotides) under uncultured bacterium. Its description in RNAcentral is "partial 16S ribosomal RNA". It matches the Rfam family "Bacterial small subunit ribosomal RNA", at positions 524 to 776 of the family's 1533-position model. The record is from RNAcentral.